CCUACGGGCGGCAGCAGUGAGGAAUAUUGGUCAAUGGACGAGAGUCUGAACCAGCCAAGUAGCGUGAAGGAUGACUGCCCUAUGGGUUGUAAACUUCUUUUAUAUGGGAAUAAAAUGUUCCACGUGUGGGAUUUUGUAUGUACCAUAUGAAUAAGAAUCGGAUAACUCCGUGCCAGCAGCCGCGGUAAUACGGAGGAUCCGAGCGUUAUCCGGAUUUAUUGGGUUUAAAGGGAGCGUAGGUGGAUUGUUAAGUCAGUUGUGAAAGUUUGCGGCUCAACCGUAAAAUUGCAGUUGAAACUGGCAGUCUAGAGUACAGUAGAGGUGGGCGGAAUUCGUGGUGUAGCGGUGAAAUGCUUAGAUAUCACGAAGAACUCCGAUGGCGAAGGCAGCUCACUGUACUGCAACUGACACUGAGGCUCGAAAGUGUGGGUAUCAAACAGGAUUAGAUACCCGUGUAGUC
This 460-nucleotide ribosomal RNA is filed under the name uncultured bacterium. RNAcentral describes it as "partial 16S ribosomal RNA". It matches the Rfam family "Bacterial small subunit ribosomal RNA", at positions 338 to 795 of the family's 1533-position model. The record is from RNAcentral.